Long non-coding RNA from Ictalurus furcatus (blue catfish), 1911 nucleotides. RefSeq lists it as uncharacterized. Lineage: Eukaryota; Metazoa; Chordata; Actinopteri; Siluriformes; Ictaluridae. The record is from RefSeq and is a predicted model, not a curated record. The transcript has 3 exons.
CGUCUAUUGCGUAAAAUCUCAAGAAAAAAAUUAUAAUGCCAAAUUUUAUGCCGCUAUCAAAUCAAGAAAAAUGAAGAUUAUUCUGGGAGGAAACUCGGGUCUGAUCAGAACAGCAGCUGGAGCUCCGAGAGACGGCCAGUGGACGGACACGUCUAACCUCAGUCACGUUCUCACACGUCCUAGUGUCGGAGUGGGUGUACAAACUUUAAACUUGUCUUAGCGUGAUCAUUUUCUUGUUGCAAAUAUUUGCGAGACUUGCUUCUUGAUUUGUCUGUUUCUUUCUUUUUGUAUUUAUUUAUUUAUUCUUAUGGCCGAUGCUUUGGCAAUACUGUACCACAGUCAUGCUAAUAAAGCUUGUUUGAAUUUGAAUCUGAGAGAGAGAGAGAGAGAGAGAGAGAGAGAGAGAGAGAUGGAGUCAGACAGAUGAGUCACCACCAGCAAAAAAUGUUUUAGAAGGAAACCAUGACGAUGAUUCCAAUAUUUGAGGACAGAGCAAACACUACACACGAAACGAAAGCAAGAGAGAGAAGAGAGAGAGGGAGAGAGAGAGAGCAAGAGAGGGAGGGAGAGAGAGAGAGAGAGGAAAAGAGAGACGGAGGGAGAGAGAGAGAGAGAGGGAGAGAGAGAGGGAGGGAGACAGAGAGGGAGGGGGGAGAGAGAGACAACCAAAAAAAUACUUGCAGGGAAACACAGCCAACAUCCCUCAAGAUGUGAACAAUGUGCAAGCAAGAAUAGCUACUCUUACCCACACACACACACACACACACACACACACACACACACAUGCACGCCAGACAGCUUAUAUUUAUGAGAAACAAUUUUUCUGAGUCCUGAGUCUCAGUUGGAUACGAGGCCAAAACGCGGCUGUCAGCUGAGGUGAUGAACUCUGUGACCCAGUUUCCUGAGCAGAACUCUGAUGCUCUUCAGAUCCACUGGCAGGUGGGUCACCAUUAGCAACAACAAAACAAAAUAAACACACACAACAACAACAACAACAACAACUUGGGGCAAGUGGGCUGGAAAAACACUCACACACUUAAGGACAGAACACAGUACCGGGUGUUUUUAAUACCCCGCUGAAUGCCGGGCCCACUUCUGCAGAACCCCACGGUUCUACAAUGACGUCCUCGUGCUCAACCAGUCCUGCUCAGACCGCCGGAGUGUGUGUGUGUGUGUGUGUGUGUGUGUGUGUGUAGUGAGUGUGUGUAUGACGUACAGAACCACGAUCGUGAGCACGAGCCGCCGCUGAGAGAAACGCUACAGUUUUAUUGGCUUAAAGAGAUGAAACAUGAAAGAAGACUCUAAAGCAUCAGAAAUGCUCAUCAGGUUUCGGGAAUAGCUUGGAUCUGGGCGUGGCCUCAGGGCUCAUUAGCUCCCCCUAAGAAGAAACCCUCAAACAGCAAGUGAGGCAUAAUCCCAAAGUAUAUUUGUGUGAUAUGGCUCAUCCUAGGUGCUUGGGCCCACAUAUCGCUUCUCACAGGUAUAUUACAUUUAUUAUGUUGUUUGUUUGUUUAGUUUUGUAACAACUGAUUGAUGAACACUGAUUGCUUUCAUCUUUAUAUAAGCGCAUGUUGUAGGGGGCAUGGCCAUGCUUGAGCAGUAGUAGGUCACAUGACCACAUGUCCUUAUUCUGUACCUGUGCUAGGAACUCGCCCUUUUAUAUGCCCUCUCCAGCUGUGGCUCCGCCCACCCACCCUCACCUGCACCUGUUGCCCGUUUAAAGCCUUAAGGCGAUACGAGUACACGCCCAAUAAAGAGAUGAAUAAUAUAAAGUCAGUUACAGUGGUGGGAGGAACCCGGAGAACCCGGAGAACCUGGAGAACCUUGAGAACCUGGAGAACCCAUGUAGUUUGCCUGUAAAUGUAUUUACUGUUAUUUAUAUAACAAAGGUUGAAAUUUCUAUCCAGUGAG